CGAAAGAUUGAUCCAGUUACUUAUUAGGAUGAUAUAUAAAUAAUUAUAUAUAAUAUAUUUAUUAUAAAUAAUAAUAAUAAUAUAUAUAUAAAUUGAUUAAAAAUAAAAUCCAUAAAUAAUUAAAAUAAUGAUAUUAAUUACUAUAUAAAAAAUAUAUAGAUAUAAAAAGUAAUAAUUUCUUAUUAUUUUCUUUUUAUAUUUUAAUAGUCCUGACUAAUAUUUGUGCCAGCAGUCGCGGUAACACAAAGAGGGCGAGCGUUAAUCAUAAUGGUUUAAAGGAUCCGUAGAAUGAAUUAUAGUAUAAUUUAGAGUUAAUAUAAUUAAUUAAAGAAUUAUAAUAGUAAAGAUGAAAUAAUAAUAAUAAUUAUAAGACUAAUAUAUGUGAAAAUAUUAAUUAAUAAUUAACUGACAUUGAGGGAUUAAGACUAGAGUAGCGAAACGGAUUCGAUACCCGUGUAGUUCUAGUAGUAAACUAUGAAUACAAUUAUUUAUAAUAUAUAAAUAAUAAAUGAAAAUGAAAGUAUUCCACCUGAAGAGUACGUUAGCAAUAAUGAAACUCAAAACAAUAGACGGUUACAGACUUAAGCAGUGGAGCAU
This 597-nucleotide ribosomal RNA is filed under the name Saccharomyces kudriavzevii. Its description in RNAcentral is "partial small subunit ribosomal RNA". The stretch from base 202 to 597 matches the Rfam family "Microsporidia small subunit ribosomal RNA", at positions 1 to 818 of the family's 1311-position model. Lineage: Eukaryota; Fungi; Ascomycota; Saccharomycetes; Saccharomycetales; Saccharomycetaceae. The record is from RNAcentral.